AUCCAGACUCCUACGGGAGGCAGCAGUGGGGAAUUUUGGACAAUGGGCGCAAGCCUGAUCCAGCUAUUCCGCGUGUGGGAAGACGGCCUUCGGGUUGUAAACCACUUUUGUAGAGAACGAAAAGUCUAUUGAUAAUACCGAUAGAUGAUGACGGUACUCUAAGAAUAAGCACCGGCUAACUACGUGCCAGCAGCCGCGGUAAUACGUAGGUGGCAAGCGUUGUUCGGAAUAACUGGGCGUAAAGGAUGCGUAGGCGGUUAAACAAGUUAUAUGUUAAAUAUAUAGGCUUAACCUGUAGAAAGCAUAUAAAACUGUUUAACUAGAGUGCAGGAGAGGUAAGUGGAAUUCCUAGUGUAGCGGUGAAAUGCGUAGAGAUUAGGAAGAACACCAGUGGCGAAGGCGACUUACUGGACUGUAACUGACGCUGAGGCAUGAGAGCAUGGGGAGCAAACAGGAUUAGAUACCCCCGUA
This 471-nucleotide ribosomal RNA is filed under the name uncultured bacterium. Its description in RNAcentral is "bacterial SSU rRNA". It matches the Rfam family "Bacterial small subunit ribosomal RNA", at positions 329 to 792 of the family's 1533-position model. The record is from RNAcentral.